GGAGAAAGCCGUAAAGGAAGACAAUAAAUAUUUAUAUAUUAAAAAUGAAAGAAUAUUUACUUUUAACUUAUUUUGACAUGUUCAACAAGUUACUUUGCAUUAGGGAUGACUACUAGUAAGAUUUGGUUACAAGAAGAAAAAAAGAAAAAACAAAAUUUUUCUGUUAGUUUAAGUUUUGAUAUUCUGUAUACAUUCAUGAAUCACUUAAUUAAAAUCAUAUCAAAUAUGUAUAUUAUACAAAUAUAGAAUAUGGAUUGAUUCUAAUCGCGAAGAGACUAAAAAUUAUGUACAUUCAUGACUUAAUAAGAACAGAAAAAAUUAAAAGUUCAUGAAUGAAAAAG
RNAcentral lists this long non-coding RNA (341 nucleotides) under Brassica rapa (field mustard). Its description in RNAcentral is "long non-coding RNA (BRAP_LNC003156)". The record is from RNAcentral. Lineage: Eukaryota; Viridiplantae; Streptophyta; Magnoliopsida; Brassicales; Brassicaceae.